RNAcentral lists this ribosomal RNA (537 nucleotides) under Clostridioides difficile. RNAcentral's name for it is "bacterial SSU rRNA". It matches the Rfam family "Bacterial small subunit ribosomal RNA", at positions 1 to 563 of the family's 1533-position model. The record is from RNAcentral. Lineage: Bacteria; Bacillati; Bacillota; Clostridia; Peptostreptococcales; Peptostreptococcaceae.
UUUUAUUUGAGAGUUUGAUCCUGGCUCAGGAUGAACGCUGGCGGCGUGCCUAACACAUGCAAGUUGAGCGAUUUACUUCGGUAAAGAGCGGCGGACGGGGGAGUAACGCGUGGGUAACCUACCCUGUACACACGGAUAACAUACCGAAAGGUAUGCUAAUACGGGAUAAUAUAUUUGAGAGGCAUCUCUUGAAUAUCAAAGGUGAGCCAGUACAGGAUGGACCCGCGUCUGAUUAGCUAGUUGGUAAGGUAACGGCUUACCAAGGCGACGAUCAGUAGCCGACCUGAGAGGGUGAUCGGCCACAUUGGAACUGAGACACGGUCCAAACUCCUACGGGAGGCAGCAGUGGGGAAUAUUGCACAAUGGGCGAAAGCCUGAUGCAGCAACGCCGCGUGAGUGAUGAAGGCCUUCGGGUCGUAAAACUCUGUCCUCAAGGAAGAUAAUGACGGUACUUGAGGAGGAAGCCCCGGCUAACUACGUGCCAGCAGCCGCGGUAAUACGUAGGGGGCUAGCGUUAUCCGGAUUUACUGGGCGUAA